Notolabrus celidotus (New Zealand spotty) is the source of this 1206-nucleotide long non-coding RNA. RefSeq lists it as uncharacterized. The record is from RefSeq and is a predicted model, not a curated record. NCBI's taxonomy places the organism in Eukaryota, Metazoa, Chordata, Actinopteri, Labriformes, Labridae. The transcript is spliced from 5 exons.
CCUGAUUAGCUCUGUGACAGUGUUCAGGUCUCUCUCUGCUCUCACUGGGACAGUGUUUUUGGAGUUUUGUUUUCCUGUACCUCUCCUGUGUUUGGAUGGAGGAGGAGCCUCCAGCCCUGUGGGUGUGUUCACCUGCUCUGGACGGCGUUCCUGGUGUACACCCCUGCCUCCCUGAUCUAAAGUGGCUGUCAAUCCCCCGAAAAUGGACGACCCUGACCAAAUCAACAGACCUACAAAGAAGGCCGGGUAAUAUGGAAUUUGAAGGGAGAUAAAUAAACCUGGACACCCCUUUCACCAAAUGGAAUCACCACAACAUCAGACGGAAUACAGCGGAAUAAUUAGUUGCGUUGUUCGCGCCCCCCAGGGACACCGGGUGCUGUUUGUCGGCCUGCGCGGAUAACAACAGACACACAGACUGUGGAAACAUCUCUCCCAAUAACGAGUACACAAGUCGUUUAAAAAGCCAAUAAUUGUGCAGGAGCAUGAAAGAUAAUCCUUGUAUGGAAGCUGAGAGGUCAGGCGUUCCUACCAAGCCAGCAGGUCACAUAGACGCCGUGUUCGGACAGCAAACAUCCUUCUUCUCUACUUUUAAUCUCUGUUUACAGGAUCUACACAGUCAGCUUUGGAAGCAUUCUAGUGUCUGUUUGCUGUCCAAGUACUGUAGAUUACAUCAAUCAAGCAUCAGCAGGCUUUGGUGUGUGCAGGGAAAACAGUCUCUACGGUGAGCAAAAGCAGGCAGAAUGCACACCGCCAUGACAUCCUCUCUCUGUAUAAAAAAUUACAACUUGAGCAACACUUUUUUUAUUUGAAGCUGUGUUAAGAGAAGUUUUCCCUAAUCAGUUUGGAGUUCCUGCUACCUGAAGUGCAUUGAGUGGUGCGUUGUUAUUUUGGCAAACUUGAGCUCUGAAGCCACUGAGUGAUUGUAAUGUCUGCCAUCAAACUGACAACUACUUGUAACAGAUAAACGGAUGCUGAGGUGGGCUGUAGUGGAUUUAGAAACAAGCGCUUAUGUAUAUGCCACUUCUUGGCUGCCUGUAUACCCUAACCUGUUAUAAUUCUUUCUUUCUACCAAAGUAAAUGUCAUUUUUGGAGCCGUCAUCAUACCUGAAAACUCACCAAACUUGACACACUCAUCAGGCCGGGUGUAAAAUUUGAUAUUCUUUUGGUCCCGUGCAAAAAGGCCCAAAAAUGGCUCAAUAGCGCCCC